GCGGGCGUAGCUUAAUUGGUAGAGCGUUAGUUUGUGGUGCUGAAUGUUGCCAGUUCGAUUCUGGUCGCUCGCC
This 73-nucleotide transfer RNA is filed under the name Wolbachia endosymbiont of Menacanthus eurysternus. RNAcentral describes it as "tRNA-His". It matches the Rfam family "tRNA". Rfam says of the family: Transfer RNA (tRNA) molecules are approximately 80 nucleotides in length. Their secondary structure includes four short double-helical elements and three loops (D, anti-codon, and T loops). The record is from RNAcentral. Lineage: Bacteria; Pseudomonadati; Pseudomonadota; Alphaproteobacteria; Rickettsiales; Anaplasmataceae.